RNAcentral lists this ribosomal RNA (484 nucleotides) under uncultured bacterium. RNAcentral's name for it is "partial 16S ribosomal RNA". It matches the Rfam family "Bacterial small subunit ribosomal RNA", at positions 30 to 507 of the family's 1533-position model. The record is from RNAcentral.
AUUGAACGCUGGCGGCAGGCCUAACACAUGCAAGUCGAGCGGAUGAAGGGAGCUUGCUCCUGGAUUCAGCGGCGGACGGGUGAGUAAUGCCUAGGAAUCUGCCUGGUAGUGGGGGAAAACGCCCGGAACCGGGGGCUAAUACCGCAUACGUCCUGGGGGGGAAGGUGGGGGACCUUCGGACCCCACGCUAUAAGUGAAACCUAGGUCGGAUAAGCUAGUUGGUGGGGUAAAGGCCUACCAAGGCGACGAUCCGUAACUGGUCUGAGAGGAUGAUCAGUCACACUGGAACUGAGACACGGUCCAGACUCCUACGGGAGGCAGCAGUGGGGAAUAUUGGACAAUGGGCGAAAGCCUGAUCCAGCCAUGCCGCGUGUGUGAAGAAGGUCUUCGGAUUGUAAAGCACUUUAAGUUGGGAGGAAGGGCAGUAAGUUAAUACCUUGCUGUUUUGACGUUACCAACAGAAUAAGCACCGGCUAACUUCGUG